GAUCUGCAGGGCAUGCGGGUGCCUACUGUUUCAAACCUUUAGGAAAGGAUGGAAAGCCUGGUUUUUUCAUCAUGAUGUCUAUUGUUCUACUAAAUUUCUUAAUUGGAUCUUCUUUUAGCUUUCCUUAAAGAUUUGAAACAGCAUGCAUAUGUAUGCCCUUGUCUGUUUGCAUACAUCAAAACACACAGAUAGCUAGUCAAAGCCAGACCAAUAAUAGAAAGAGUUCCCCUCUUUAUCACAGAGAAUAAGUUUCAAAAUGGAUCAUCAGUAAGAUGCAAGACUAUUUGUGUACCUGCAGUUCAGCUUAUGACUUUCUCCAAGACCUAAAAAAACUCAAACCAAAGCAAGAACACACAAUGACAAUGAUAGACUUUGUAACACUAUCCCUCAGUGAAUCUACUUGCAGCUUGCUACAUAAGUUUAUGCUCCAGAACUUUGAAAAUGACACAGUUACACCAGAGGCCAUAAGAGAACUAGUCCACACUGUUUGUUAUGAGUCAUUUUUCCCAAUUUGGAUAUCAAUAUUAUAAACAGAAAGAGUGCAUGCCAAUAGGUAGCUCCUUAGCAGGGCCUUUAGUAGAAUUGAUCAAAAGAGACAAAGAAAGAUAAUAGAUACAUCUAAACAAAGUUAUAUCUUAUAUAGAAAAUAUGAAGAUGAACUGUUGAUUAUAUGGAGAAAUAACACUAAGAUUGAGGAAUUUCAGAAAGCCUUUAUGGAUAGAAAUUAUGACCUUAAGUUAAAGUUAGACUAAAAAAAGUGCCUCAAAAGUCCAUUAUCUAUAUAUAAAAAUUAGUAAGGUAACAGCCAGCUAUAACACUAGAGUUUACCAAAAGCCCAAUAUAAGAAGAAUAAUACCUAGAUAGUCUCCAGACCUCUCUACAAGAAGGCAGUAUUCAGGACAUACUUUAAGAGGGUCUUAUAUCACAGUGGUACAGUCAAGUCCUUAAAAGAAAUGAUAGGAAGAAUAUACAAGGUGGGACUUAGAUAUAUAUAUAUAAAACCUUACAUCAGGACAAUACAGAAAAAAGUAGAGAAGAAUAUUAGAGAAGCUUUUAGUACAGAUAUAGAUAGAAAAAAUAUAGAAAGACCAGAGGAAACUCGGAUGGGGAGUCCAUCAUUUAUUAUAUGUCAAAAAAUAAUGCAAUCAGAAAGGCCAUUAAGAGGCACAAUGGAAAACCAGUAGUACAGAGAGAAUAACAAAUGUUGUCUUUGACAUAUUGAGGAAUAACAAAGAUGAUCCAAUAAAAACUGAAAAAUCUGGAGUAUAUACCAUGCUGAUAGUAGAUAUAGAAACAGGAGACAAUGAGGAAUAUAUAGGAAAUGCCUG
RNAcentral lists this long non-coding RNA (1328 nucleotides) under Androctonus crassicauda. Lineage: Eukaryota; Metazoa; Arthropoda; Arachnida; Scorpiones; Buthidae. The record is from RNAcentral.